Firmicutes bacterium CAG:124 is the source of this 95-nucleotide regulatory RNA element. It matches the Rfam family "SAM riboswitch aptamer (S box leader)". Rfam says of the family: The SAM riboswitch is found upstream of a number of genes which code for proteins involved in methionine or cysteine biosynthesis in Gram-positive bacteria. The SAM riboswitch acts at the level of transcription termination control. The record is from Rfam. NCBI's taxonomy places the organism in Bacteria, Bacillati, Bacillota.
GCCUUAUCAAGAGUGGUGGAGGGAACGGCCCAAUGAAACCCGGCAACCUGCGGAUGCAAGGUGCCAAAUCCGGCGAAGGAAUCGAAAGAUGAGGG